RNAcentral lists this ribosomal RNA (1206 nucleotides) under Triticum aestivum (bread wheat). RNAcentral describes it as "partial small subunit ribosomal RNA". Lineage: Eukaryota; Viridiplantae; Streptophyta; Magnoliopsida; Poales; Poaceae. The record is from RNAcentral.
AUGCAUGUCGGUACGAUCAUGGAGUCGAAUGAUGCGACUUUCUUUGAAGAUAUCUUUCCCAUGAAGGAUAUGUCUACCUCAUCUAAUCAGGAGAUGCCUAGUUCAUCGAAUCAGGAACCAGUUACAAUUACCGAACCUGCCAUUUCGAUGGAACACUUUGAAAGUCCCGUGGAGGAGAACAAUGAAGUUCCUAUUAGGAGCAAGAGACAAAGGACUGCAAAGUCCUUUGGUGAUGAUUUUCUUGUGUAUCUCAUAGAUGACACUCCCAGUUCUAUUUCGGAGGCCUAUGCAUCGGAGGAUGCAGACUACUGGAAGGAAGCGGUUCGUAGCGAGAUGGAUUCCAUCUUGGUGAAUGAAACCUGGGAGAUAACUAAUCGUCCUUAUGGGUGCAAACCUAUAGGAUGCAAAUGGGUAUUCAAGAAGAAGCUUAGGCCUGAUGGCUUUGUUGUGAACGAAGCUGACAAAUGUGUGUACUAUCGCCAUGGUGGGGGCGAGGGAGUUAUGCGUUGCUUGUAUGUUGAUGACAUACUAAUAUUCGGAACAAAUCUGAAUGUUGUUAAGGAGGUCAAGGAUUUCCUAUCUCGCUAUUUUGAGAUGAAGGAUUUAGGAGUGGCUGAUGUCAUUUUGAACAUCAAGUUGUUGAGAGAUGAUGAUGGUGGGAUUACAUUGCUUCAAUCUCACUAUGUGGAAAAGAUCUUGAGUUGCUUUGGCUAUAGUGACUGCAAGCCUUCUCCAACACCAUAUGAUGCUAGCGUGCUGCUUCGAAAGAAUCGAAGAAUUGCUAGAGAUCAAUUGAAGUAUUCUCAGAUUAUUGGCUCGCUUAUGUACUUAGCAAGUGCUACAAGACCUGACAUCUCUUUUGUGCUUGAAGGGUAUAGUGACUCAAACUGGAUCUCAGAUGCUGAUGAGAUAAAGGCCACGAGUGGUUAUGUAUUCACUCAUGGAGGUGGCGCUGUUUCUUGGAAGUCUUGCAAGCAGACCAUCUUAACGAGGUCAACAAUGGAAGCAGAACCCACAUCACUAGAUACAGCUACGGUUGAAGCAGAUUGGCUUCACCGACUCUUGAAUGACUUGCCGGUUGUUGAGAAACCUAUACCGGGUGUCCUUAUGAACUGCGACAAUCAAACUGUGAUCACGAAAGUUAAAGUCUGUCAGGAAAAUGAAAAACUCCGGAGUUAUUGCGUUGGAUUAUAUCCAAACAUCUAA